CAUGGCUGUCGUCAGCUCGUGUCGUGAGAUGUUCGGUUAAGUCCGCUAACGAGCGCAACCCUCGCUGUGUGUUACAAGUGUCACACGGAACUGCCGGUCAUAAACCGGAGGAAGGUGGGGAUGACGUCAAGUCAGCAUGGCCUUUAUAUCCUGGGCUACACACACGCUACAAUGGGAAGGGACAAUAGGUUGCGAAGCCGCGAGGCGGAGCCAAUCCAGCAAAACUUCCCUCAGUUCAGAUUGCAGGCUGCAACUCGCCUGCAUGAAGUUGGAGUUGCUAGUAAACGCAGGUCAGCCAUACUGCGUUGAAUACGUUCCCGGGGCUU
This 326-nucleotide ribosomal RNA is filed under the name uncultured Anaerolineaceae bacterium. RNAcentral describes it as "bacterial SSU rRNA". It matches the Rfam family "Bacterial small subunit ribosomal RNA", at positions 1044 to 1382 of the family's 1533-position model. The record is from RNAcentral. Lineage: Bacteria; Bacillati; Chloroflexota; Anaerolineae; Anaerolineales; Anaerolineaceae.